CAGCCGCCGCGGGAAUACGAAGGGGGCUAGCGUUGCUCGGAAUGACUGGGCGUAAAGGGCGCGUAGGCGGCGGCCAAAGUCAGGCGUGAAAUUCCCGGGCUCAACCUGGGGGCUGCGUUUGAUACUUGGUUGCUUGAGUGGGGAAGAGGGUCGUGGAAUUCCCAGUGUAGAGGUGAAAUUCGUAGAUAUUCGGAAGAACACCAGUGGCGAAGGCGGCUCACUGGACCGUUGUUGACGCUGAGGUGCGAAAGCGUGGGGAGCAAACAGGAUUAGAGACCCCUGUAGUCCCUGUCUCUUAUAC
Molecule: ribosomal RNA, 301 nt
Filed under: uncultured bacterium
Lineage: Bacteria
Description: partial 16S ribosomal RNA
Rfam family: Bacterial small subunit ribosomal RNA
Source: RNAcentral